This 460-nucleotide ribosomal RNA is filed under the name uncultured bacterium. RNAcentral's name for it is "partial 16S ribosomal RNA". It matches the Rfam family "Bacterial small subunit ribosomal RNA", at positions 338 to 795 of the family's 1533-position model. The record is from RNAcentral.
CCUACGGGUGGCAGCAGUGAGGAAUAUUGGUCAAUGGACGAGAGUCUGAACCAGCCAAGUAGCGUGAAGGAUGACUGCCCUAUGGGUUGUCAACUUCUUUUAUAUGGGAAUAAAAUGUUCCACGUGUGGGCUUUUGUAUGUACCAUAUGAAUAAGGAUCGGCUAUCUCCGUGCCAGCAGCCGCGGUAAUACGGAGGAUCCGAGCGUUAUCCGGAUUUAUUGGGUUUAAAGGGAGCGUAGGUGGAUUGUUAAGUCAGUUGUGAAAGUUUGCGGCUCAACCGUAAAAUUGCAGUUGAAACUGGCAGGCUUGAGUACAGUAGCGGUGGGCGGAAUUCGUGGUGUAGCGGUGAAAUGCUUAGAUAUCACGAAGAACUCCGAUUGCGAAGGCAGCUCACUGGACUGCAACUGACACUGAGGCUCGAAAGUGUGGGUAUCAAACAGGAUUAGAUACCCGUGUAGUC